UUCGAUAGACGGCCACAACAACAAAUUAUAAUGCUGUGGUUAGAAUGGCAGAACAUACAAGGGUGUUCUGUCAAAAUGUCCAUGGCUGGGAACGUGCUGAUGAUGGCGAAGGAACGGGUGCACCAUUGGUUCACCCAUAGCGCAGGAGUUCAGCUGCACAGUCCGGCGCCAACAUUCCGCGUUGGGUGCGCCAAAGCGCUACGACAAACAACCUGAUAACAUUACAUCAAGCCAGACAGUCCAAUUGGAAUGCUUUUGAGUCGACUUGGACAUCUGCGCAAGAAUUGCUCCUAUGCACUAAUGUGCAGAGAUACGUGGAGUUGUGCCACAACAAAACAAUGAAGACUGCAAAUUUUCUCAGAGUUGUGCAUACUGGCUUGGGAAUGCGGUGCGGCAUGAUGCGGCCAGCAUCUUCGCGCCUUGCAACUU
Molecule: long non-coding RNA, 429 nt
Filed under: Volvox carteri
Lineage: Eukaryota; Viridiplantae; Chlorophyta; Chlorophyceae; Chlamydomonadales; Volvocaceae
Description: long non-coding RNA (VCAR_LNC003907)
Source: RNAcentral